CUUUCCAGCUGCACCUACUUACCAACUGAAGGAGAAGCCGUAUAAAAGCUGAGCAGAAACUCCAGAAGAUGAGAACUUCUCUCCAGAGUAUGCCCUUUGGCUGUAGGGAGAUUUUGAAGCGAGCUUCAUCCGGCUCCUCGACCAGGUGACCCGAAUCGAGAUCAACCAGACGGGAAUGGUGUUGUUCUAUCAGCUGGGUUUGCUGUAUGGAGGCUUCGUGGUGCACGAGUGUAACGUCCAGCGCUCGAUCGGUUAUUAUCUGGAGGCUCUGCUCAUGUUGGCCCCGUUUUUGAAGAUGCCGCUCAGAGCCGUGCUGAAGGGUGUCGCCAACGACCCCACAGACCCAUCGCAGGUAGCGGAGCCUGGUUCGCAGCUCUGAGAUGGUCAUCUUCC
Molecule: long non-coding RNA, 393 nt
Organism: Cyprinus carpio (common carp)
Lineage: Eukaryota; Metazoa; Chordata; Actinopteri; Cypriniformes; Cyprinidae
Exons: 4
Source: RefSeq, a predicted model, not a curated record